UACGAAGGGGGCUAGCGUUGUUCGGAUUUACUGGGCGUAAAGCGCACGUAGGCGGAUCGUUAAGUCGGGGGUGAAAUCCUGGAGCUCAACUCCAGAACUGCCUUCGAUACUGGCGAUCUUGAGUCCGGAAGAGGUGAGUGGAACUCCUAGUGUAGAGGUGGAAAUUCGUAGAUAUUAGGAAGAACACCAGUGGCGAAGGCGGCUCACUGGUCCGGUAC
This 218-nucleotide ribosomal RNA is filed under the name uncultured bacterium. RNAcentral describes it as "partial 16S ribosomal RNA". It matches the Rfam family "Bacterial small subunit ribosomal RNA", at positions 524 to 740 of the family's 1533-position model. The record is from RNAcentral.